This 1285-nucleotide long non-coding RNA is filed under the name Olea europaea (common olive). RNAcentral's name for it is "long non-coding RNA (OEUR_LNC010162)". The stretch from base 377 to 572 matches the Rfam family "MIR159 microRNA precursor family". Lineage: Eukaryota; Viridiplantae; Streptophyta; Magnoliopsida; Lamiales; Oleaceae. The record is from RNAcentral.
CAAGAAAACAGCCGUUGCCAACGCACCCCACCUACCCCCACGCACUAAGUCUUAUCCUCCUCCCUUUAUAUUCAGUCCACCCACUCGUUUAUCAUCUGCAUAUGGGUUUCUUUUCUUCUGUGGUAGGUUUUGCUGUUUUCUUGGUUGUUCGUCUUUUAUUCAUGAAUUCUUGCAUAUGAUAUAACUCUCGGGUCCUUUUUGACUUCAGAGCUAGAUUCCUGUUCAUGGAUCUGCAAAUUCUUGGGUUUUUUCUUCUUAAAUGCUUUCUUUCACUUAGAUUAGAUCUGGAUCUUCCAUGUGAAGAUCAUAUCAGAUAAGCGAUUUUCUUGGGGGGUGUGGAUGGUUUUUAGGGUUGACUUGAAUAUAUUUAGAUUAGGGUUUGUUUGUAGAGCUCCUUGAAGUCCAAAAGAGGUUCUUUCGGGGAAAAUUGAGCUGCUAAUCCAUGGAUCCCUCAACCCUAUCCAUAUCUAUAGAUCCAUAUUGGAUAGGUUUGUGGGUUGCAUGUAUCAGGAGCCUGCAUUUCUCAAGUUGGAUCCUUCUUUGGAUUGAAGGGAGCUCUAUACUUAUCCCUAUAUCCAUUUUUGUCUUUAUUUUUUCAUCAGUUCUAUUUUCUUUUAGUUUCUGUUUCUUUUCAGAUCUAAUUAAUGUGAUAAAAAAUUCUAAGUUUGAUCUGUUUAAACGUUUCUCUUACAUAGAAACUGAUCAAUCCCUGACCCUGAUAACUAGAUUGGAUCUUUCUCUAGAUUUACCCUUUUCCGUUUUUGGUUACUGAAGAAAGUCAAAUAUGCAUUUGUUUCCCUCACAUACUCCCUUGUGUGCAUAUCAGUAUAUAGGUUAAAGCUCACCCCUUAAUGUAUCUGCAGAUUUUGGGUUUUUUCUUGCAACAUUUUUCAGGUGCUGAUAGAUUCUUGCUGAAAACAGAUGAGAAGGAAGCCAGAUUGCUCCUUUUUGGGUUCAAGAAAGGAAAUAUAUCUUAGGGUUUAUUUCAAAGAUCAAACAAUAUAUUUCAUUUUUACAGUUAACAUUUUGUUUGGAUUCUUUCCCAUUUGUUAGUCUUCAAUCAAUGGUGUAAUAAAUCCAAGAAAAGCUGUUUUGACAGCAAGUACUGGUAAAUACACAGUAAAUGUAAAUUUUGGUAUAUUGGAAAUCUAUAUAUAUAUAAAUGAAAAUUGUGUCUGAACACAGUAAACGUGGUUUAUGAAUCCUAGUUUUUGGGAAUGGGAAGUGAGAAAAUAUUAUAUACAUGCAUUUUGAUUCUUGGAAAUAAAAAAUUAUAACAUUUCAU